UACUCGAGUGGCGAACGGGUGAGUAACACGUGGGUGAUCUGCCCUGCACUUUGGGAUAAGCCUGGGAAACUGGGUCUAAUACCGAAUACACCUUGCUGGAUGCAUGUCUGGUGGGGGAAAGCUUUUGCGGUGUGGGAUGGGCCCGCGGCCUAUCAGCUUGUUGGUGAGGUUAUGGCUUACCAAGGCGACGACGGGUAGCCGGCCUGAGAGGGUGUCCGGCCACACUGGGACUGAGAUACGGCCCAGACUCCUACGGGAGGCAGCAGUGGGGAAUAUUGCACAAUGGGCGCAAGCCUGAUGCAGCGACGCCGCGUGAGGGAUGACGGCCUUCGGGUUGUAAACCUCUUUCAGUAGGGACGAAGCGAAAGUGACGGUACCUGCAGAAGAAGGACCGGCCAACUACGUGCCAGCAGCCGCGGUAAUACGUAGGGUCCGAGCGUUGUCCGGAAUUACUGGGCGUAAAGAGCUCGUAGGUGGUUUGUCGCGUUGUUCGUGAAAACUCACAGCUUAACUGUGGGCGUGCGGGCGAUACGGGCAGACUGGAGUACUGCAGGGGAGACUGGAAUUCCUGGUGUAGCGGUGGAAUGCGCAGAUAUCAGGAGGAACACCGGUGGCGAAGGCGGGUCUCUGGGCAGUAACUGACGCUGAGGAGCGAAAGCGUGGGGAGCGAACAGGAUUAGAUACCCUGGUAGUCCACGCCGUAAACGGUGGGUACUAGGUG
RNAcentral lists this ribosomal RNA (721 nucleotides) under marine sponge bacterium PLATEchitin-(2)-1. RNAcentral's name for it is "bacterial SSU rRNA". It matches the Rfam family "Bacterial small subunit ribosomal RNA", at positions 88 to 822 of the family's 1533-position model. The record is from RNAcentral.